RNAcentral lists this long non-coding RNA (727 nucleotides) under Amborella trichopoda. RNAcentral describes it as "long non-coding RNA (ATRI_LNC001564)". Lineage: Eukaryota; Viridiplantae; Streptophyta; Magnoliopsida; Amborellales; Amborellaceae. The record is from RNAcentral.
GAACGUAGUAAAUUUUAUCUCAAACAAGAUAAUCACCUCGAUUUUCCAGCAUAUUCUUCCUCCUCGGAUUAUAAAAGAAUUCAGCACAAGAAAACCCUAAGCCUAGUCACUGCAAAAACAAUUUCUAUAUACAAAGAGAACAAAAAAAUAAAUUUUAUAAAAACAAUUUAUGUGAAAUUUAAAAAGCACAUAAAACAGGGAACACAACAUUAAAAAAACCAGACAUAAGAAUAAAAAAAUGACCGAACUGCAUCUCAAAAAUCACAGAACUCAGAUAAAAAGCAAAGAAGCAGCUCAAAGAGAAUUCAUAAAGGACAUAAGAGUUGAUUUUCUCAAAAUGGAAGCUAUAACAGACAAUUCACACAAAACCCACAAACAUAAAAAGAAAAAAGUGGAUAAACGGGCAUUUAGGAGGAAAUGGAUCAUAAAUCAAGUUCAAGAAAUGGAUCAUAAUCAAAAAUUCAAAAUUAAACAGAAAAGAACAAUGCCCAAUCAAAUAGUACUGUGAGAAAAGAAAAAAUGAAGAAUAGCAGAUACAGGCUAUCGGAAAAACCAGAUAAGAGAGAGAGGAAAAUGAGAACUCUGAGCUAAAUAACUAUGGAGAGAGAGGCUGAGGAGUAGCGGACAUUUCAAAACCGAGAGAGAGAAUUAGGAAAUUUCGAAAUGUAGAGAGAGAGAAUUGCAAAAUUUCGAAAUUGGGAAAAUUUCAAAAUCCAGUGCGCGCGCG